GAUGAACGCUGGCGGCGUGCCUAAUACAUGCAAGUCGAGCGGCAGCGCGGUCUUCGGACUGGCGGCGAGCGGCGGACGGCUGAGUAACGCGUAGGAACGUACCCCAAAGUGAGGGAUAACUGCUCGAAAGAGUAGCUAAUACCGCAUGUGGUCUACGGAUUAAAGGAUUUAUCCGCUUUGGGAACGGCCUGCGUAUGAUUAGUUUGUUGGUGAGGUAAAAGCUUACCAAGGCGAUGAUCAUUAGCUGGUCUGAGAGGAUGAUCAGCCAGACUGGGACUGAGACACGGCCCAGACUCCUACGGGAGGCAGCAGUAGGGAAUUUUCCACAAUGGGCGAAAGCCUGAUGGAGCAACGCCGCGUGCAGGAUGAAUGCCUUAGGGUUGUAAACUGCUUUUAUAUGUGACGAAUAUGACGGUAGCAUAUGAAUAAGGAUCGGCUAACUCCGUGCCAGCAGCCGCGGUAA
This 463-nucleotide ribosomal RNA is filed under the name uncultured bacterium. Its description in RNAcentral is "partial 16S ribosomal RNA". It matches the Rfam family "Bacterial small subunit ribosomal RNA", at positions 28 to 523 of the family's 1533-position model. The record is from RNAcentral.